RNAcentral lists this ribosomal RNA (468 nucleotides) under uncultured bacterium. RNAcentral's name for it is "partial 16S ribosomal RNA". It matches the Rfam family "Bacterial small subunit ribosomal RNA", at positions 28 to 507 of the family's 1533-position model. The record is from RNAcentral.
GACGAACGCUGGCGGCGUGCUUAACACAUGCAAGUCGAACGGAAAGGCCCUGCUUUUGUGGGGUGCUCGAGUGGCGAACGGGUGAGUAACACGUGAGUAACCUGCCCUUGACUUUGGGAUAACUUCAUGAAACUGGGGCUAAUACCGGAUAGGAGCUCCUGCUGCAUGGUGGGGGUUGGAAAGUUUCGGCGGUUGGGGAUGGACUCGCGGCUUAUCAGCUUGUUGGUGGGGUAGUGGCUUACCAAGGCUUUGACGGGUAGCCGGCCUGAGAGGGUGACCGGCCACAUUGGGACUGAGAUACGACCCAGACUCCUACGGGAGGCAGGAGUGGGGAAUAUUGCACAAUGGGCGGAAGCCUGAUGCAGCCACGCCGCGUGCGGGAUGACGGCCUUCGGGUAGUAAACCGCUUUCGCCUGUGACGAAGCGUGAGUGACGGUAAUGGGUAAAGAAGCACCGGCUAACUACGUG